AUUGAACGCUGGCGGCAGGCCUAACACAUGCAAGUCGAGCGGAUGAAGUGAGCUUGCUCCUGGAUUCAGCGGCGGACGGGUGAGUAAUGCCUAGGAAUCUGCCUGGUAGUGGGGGAUAACGUCCGGAAACGGGCGCUAAUACCGCAUACGUCCUGAGGGAGAAAGUGGGGGAUCUUCGGACCUCACGCUAUCAGAUGAGCCUAGGUCGGAUUAGCUAGUUGGUGGGGUAAAGGCCUACCAAGGCGACGAUCCGUAACUGGUCUGAGAGGAUGAUCAGUCACACUGGAACUGAGACACGGUCCAGACUCCUACGGGAGGCAGCAGUGGGGAAUAUUGGACAAUGGGCGAAAGCCUGAUCCAGCCAUGCCGCGUGUGUGAAGAAGGUCUUCAGAUUGUAAAGCACUUUAAGUUGGGAGGAAGGGCAGUAAGUUAAUACCUUGCUGUUUUGACGUUACCAACAGAAUAAGCACCGGCUAACUUCGUG
RNAcentral lists this ribosomal RNA (484 nucleotides) under uncultured bacterium. Its description in RNAcentral is "partial 16S ribosomal RNA". It matches the Rfam family "Bacterial small subunit ribosomal RNA", at positions 30 to 507 of the family's 1533-position model. The record is from RNAcentral.